RNAcentral lists this ribosomal RNA (750 nucleotides) under Penicillium expansum. RNAcentral describes it as "SSU rRNA". It matches the Rfam family "Eukaryotic small subunit ribosomal RNA", at positions 356 to 1112 of the family's 1831-position model. Lineage: Eukaryota; Fungi; Ascomycota; Eurotiomycetes; Eurotiales; Aspergillaceae. The record is from RNAcentral.
CGGGUAACGGUUAAUUAGGGUUCGAUUCCGGAGAGGGAGCCUGAGACCCGGCUACCACAUCCAAGGAAGGCAGCAGGCGCGCAAAUUACCCAAUCCCGAUACGGGGAGGUAGUGACAAUAAAUACUGAUACGGGGCUCAAUUGGGUCUCGUAAUUGGAAUGAGAACAAUUUAAAUCCCUUAACGAGGAACAACCGGAGGGCAAGUCUGGUGCCAGCAGCCGCGGUAAUUCCAGCUCCAAUAGCGUAUAUUAAAGUUGUUGCAGUUAAAAAGCUCUUAGUUGAACCUUGGGUCUGGCUGGCCGGUCCGCCUCACCGCGAGUACUGGUCCGGCUGGACCUUUCCUUCCGGGGAACCUCAUGGCCUUCACUGGCUGUUUUGGGAACCAGGACUCCUACUGUGAAAAAAUUAGAGUGUUCAAAGCAGGCCUUUGCUCGAAUACAUUAGCAUGGAAUUUUAGAAUAGGACGUGUGGUUCUAUUUUGUUGGUUUCUAGGACCGCCGUAAUGAUUAAUAGGGAUAGUCGGGGGCGUCAGUAUUCAGCUGUCAGAGGUCAAAUUCUUGGAUUUGCUGAAGACUAACUACUGCGAAAGCAUUCGCCAAGGAUGUUUUCAUUAAUCAGGGAACGAAAGUUAGGGGAUCGAAGACGAUCAGAUACCGUCGUAGUCCCAACCAUAAACUAUGCCGACUAGGGAUCGGACGGGAUUCUAUAAUGACCCGUUCGGCACCUUACGAGAAAUUAAAGUUUUUGGCC